UACGAAGGGGGCUAGCGUUGCUCGGAAUCACUGGGCGUAAAGCGCACGUAGGCGGCUUUUUAAGUCAGGGGUGAAAUCCUGGAGCUCAACUCCAGAACUGCGUUUGAUACUGGGAAGCUUGAGUCCGGGAGAGGUGAGUGGAACUCCGAGUGUAGAGGUGAAAUUCGUAGAUAUUCGGAAGAACACCAGUGGCGAAGGCGGCUCCCUGGCCCGGUACUGACGCUGAGGCGCGAAAGCUAGGGGAGCAAACGGG
Molecule: ribosomal RNA, 253 nt
Filed under: uncultured bacterium
Lineage: Bacteria
Description: partial 16S ribosomal RNA
Rfam family: Bacterial small subunit ribosomal RNA
Source: RNAcentral